Molecule: ribosomal RNA, 541 nt
Filed under: uncultured fungus
Lineage: Eukaryota; Fungi
Description: bacterial SSU rRNA
Rfam family: Eukaryotic small subunit ribosomal RNA
Source: RNAcentral
CGAUGUUUCAUUCAAAUUUCUGCCCUAUCAACUUUCGAUGGUAGGAUACGAAGGCCUACCAUGGUUUUAACGGGUAACGGGGAAUUACGGGUUCGAUUCCGGAGAGGGAGCCUGAGAAACGGCUACCACAUCCAAGGAAGGCAGCAGGCGCGCAAAUUACCCAAUCCCGAUACGGGGAGGUAGUGACAAUAACAUAACAAUACAGGGCUUUCUAGUCUUGUAAUUGGAAUGAGUACAAUUUAAAUCCCUUAACGAGGAACAAUUGGAGGGCAAGUCUGGUGCCAGCAGCCGGGUAAAUUCCAGUCCAAUAGCGUAUAUUAAAGUUGUUGCAGUUAAAAAAGCUCGUAGUGAAUUUAAGGCCUGGUUGGACGGUCUGCUUUGGAUUGUACUGUCCUGACUGGGUCUUACCUUCUGGUGAGACUGUCGAGGUAGAAACUCAGUGCAGGACAGGGAAACCAGGACUUUUACCUUUGAAAACAUUAGAGUGUUAAAAAGCAGGCAUUCGGUUGAAUACCUUAGCAUGGAACUCAAUCAGAAUAGG